UGGGGGAUCGUUCAACGGUAGGACAGCGGACUCUGACUCCGUCGAUCUAGGUUCGAAUCCUAGUCCCCCAGCCA
RNAcentral lists this transfer RNA (74 nucleotides) under Pseudomonadota bacterium. Its description in RNAcentral is "tRNA-Gln". It matches the Rfam family "tRNA". Rfam says of the family: Transfer RNA (tRNA) molecules are approximately 80 nucleotides in length. RNAcentral also lists the same sequence under 5 other names. The record is from RNAcentral. Lineage: Bacteria; Pseudomonadati; Pseudomonadota.